Cynara cardunculus var. scolymus (artichoke) is the source of this 352-nucleotide long non-coding RNA. RefSeq lists it as uncharacterized. NCBI's taxonomy places the organism in Eukaryota, Viridiplantae, Streptophyta, Magnoliopsida, Asterales, Asteraceae. The transcript is spliced from 2 exons. The record is from RefSeq and is a predicted model, not a curated record.
ACACACGAAUUGAAAAAAAAUGAAGUACAACUGUUUUAACUUAUCAUUGCUGUUUCUCUUUGCACUUGUUCUGAUUUCUUCGGCUCGAAAGAUUCCUUCAGCUCAAACUCAUAAUUCAAAAGUUGUUGAAAUCCAAAAAGGAUAUCAUGUUGAUGGCACGAUUGGUGGUUGGGGUCCGUGGAUAAAUAAUGGUUAUCCCAAACAUAAGGUUGAUGAACUCAGGGUCAAUGGAAGAGGAGGAGGCGGCGGCGGCAACUAAAAGUGAGGCAGUUCGAUCAUGUAACCAGACAUCGUUGUACUUUGUUACCAAAAAAUAAUAUAUAUGAGCAAGUUUAUGUUGAUUUUACCUGCA